UGCCCAGACUCCUACGGGAGGCAGCAGUGAGGAAUAUUGGUCAAUGGGCGGGAGCCUGAACCAGCCAAGUCGCGUGAGGGAAGACGGUCCUACGGAUUGUAAGCCUCUUUUGCCGGGGAGCAACGGGGUCCUUGCGAGGGCCCAAUGAGAGUACCCGAAGAAAAAGCAUCGGCUAACUCCGUGCCAGCAGCCGCGGUAAUACGGAGGAUGCGAGCGUUAUCCGGAUUUAUUGGGUUUAAAGGGUGCGCAGGCGGCGUGUCAAGCAAGCGGUAAAAUAGCGGGGCUCAACCCCGUCGAGCCGUUUGAACUGGCGCGCUUGAGUUCAGGCGAGGUAGGCGGAAUUCGUGGUGUAGCGGUGAAAUGCAUAGAUAUCACGAAGAACUCCGAUUGCGAAGGCAGCUUACCAGUCUGCGACUGACGCUCAGGCACGAAAGUGUGGGUAUCGAACAGGAUUAGAUACCCCAGUAG
RNAcentral lists this ribosomal RNA (468 nucleotides) under uncultured bacterium. RNAcentral's name for it is "bacterial SSU rRNA". It matches the Rfam family "Bacterial small subunit ribosomal RNA", at positions 328 to 793 of the family's 1533-position model. The record is from RNAcentral.